Molecule: long non-coding RNA, 254 nt
Filed under: Helianthus annuus (common sunflower)
Lineage: Eukaryota; Viridiplantae; Streptophyta; Magnoliopsida; Asterales; Asteraceae
Source: RNAcentral
GUCUCCUGGGGGACAUCCGAUAAAAUUGGAACGAUAUAGAGAAGAUUAGCAUGCGCAAGGAUGACAUGCACAAAUCAAGAAAUGGUCCAAUUUUUUUUUUCCCAAAACUAAUAUCUUUUUUUUAAGGAACUUCCAGCUUCUAUGUAUAGCCGAGCUGAGCAAUGGUUAUCGUUCCUUCGGAACCAUACAUAGAAGAUUAGCAUGGCCCUUCCACAAAGAUAACACCCAUAAAUCGAUAAAUGGUCCAAAUUUGU